Molecule: long non-coding RNA, 1358 nt
Organism: Portunus trituberculatus (swimming crab)
Lineage: Eukaryota; Metazoa; Arthropoda; Malacostraca; Decapoda; Portunidae
Exons: 2
Source: RefSeq, a predicted model, not a curated record
UGUUCCUGCUGGAUAUCAUCUUCUAGAAGACCGGCUACCCAAGUCAGAGGUGGCUGCUAAUAAUUUACCUGGGCCCUCAGCUAGGACCAGAAACUAAUUACAAUAGAUGUGAUCUGGAACAAGGAACUGGACAAUGGAAGAGGCGAUUUCACAUACCCCACAAAGAAAUCAGAAUGAAGUCCCAUGCGUAUUUGUGACGCAUCAUUGAGGUCUGUGUCCUGCUCCACCGCAUACGCAAGGACAGGAACAUAUUGUUAUCGACUUAUCAGCUGAGGAUAAGGAAAAAAGUAUUGAUGUACAGUACCUGUGUAUCCACACCCCACCACAAGUUGCACCACAAGUCAGCUGACAGACAUGGAGGUCUGCACUACAUGGAUGAGUAUGUCGAUCUUCACUUCAAGUAAGACUUUCAAUCUGUCUAAUUGCAUGUAAAGAUAUACAGAAUCUGAUUAAUGUUUUAUUAAUUAAUGUGGGACUAUUAGAAAAUAUUAAUGUUUUAUAUAUUUUCUUCAGCCUCCCCAUCAUAGAAGCCCUUUACAUUAAAAAAAACUUGGAGCCAAACCUCAACAUACAAAACCUAUAGACAUGCAAGCGCUCCCAAGUAUGAAGCGAUGGAAGAACACGCCUACACGCAGCCAAACAGAGGCCGAGCUGACCGUGCUCAGCCAUCAGCCAGCCAUAUGAAUAUAGCACGCGCUAUAGUGCUACCAUUCAGCACAACGGCCUACCUGCUAUCCACAUCCCCCGUGCUGCGUUUGACGCCCCCCACCGCUCCACGCAGAGGCCAACACGUCGAGCCCCUCCAGCUGACCACCGUAGGGAGGCGCUCGAUUUGAACGAGCACGGCCAAAAGCAAGCAACAGUAGAGGUGGUGGGAGCUGUACGACAGACGGAAGAAGAAGAGGAAGAUGAAGACGAAGAGAUUGAUGUCGAACACGUAGAAGAGGACGACUGCAUGGAGUAUGGUGACGAAGCUGAAAUACAAGAACAUGUGCACGUCAAAACAAAAUCAGAAACAGCAGGCACACCUCAGCCCACUCCACUAACACGGCAGACUAGAUCAUCGACAGCCGCAGUUAACAGAACAGCCCAGCCACCCAUUGCAGACCGGGAGAAAACACCAAGAGAAGAUCAAGAAACAAUGCGCCCGGCUAUGGUGAUGUUGAAACAUCUUAAAAGAACCAAACCACAUGUAAUACUUUCUCCCAUAAACAUCAAGACAGUUGAAGAAGAAACGGCUCUACCACCACGUCAACAAGAAGAGUGGUCGACAGUAACGAGACACAAACAAAAAAGAAAAUAAAUGACCAGCAUGGGGGUCUGCCCCCCCACCUUUUUACCUCACUCUGUACUUCUCU